AUGGCGGACGGAUCCAGGGACAUUAGCAGGCGGCGGAAUCCGGCGGACAAGCUCACCGAAGACCUCCUCGUCGAGAUCCUGUCGCGCGUGCCGUACAGGUCGCUGUGCCGCUUCAAGUGCGUCUCCAAGCGGUGGCGCGGCAUCAUCUCCCACCCCGACCACCGCAAGGCGCUGCCGCAGUACCAUCUCCAUGACCUCGCUGGCUUCCUCUACUCGAGCCGCGGCCCCAGCACUGGCUAUUUCUCAACUGACAAUUUCACCCAUGUCUCGGCGGGAGGCCGUGCUCCUAUCCGUCCUUCGCUCCCCUUCCUGCCUGACUGUCAUCAGUUCCACCUUCUGGACAGCUGCAACGGCCUACUCCUCUGCCGCCGCUUCAAGACCUUUGGUGCGGGGGCAUUUUAUUACGUGGUGUGCAAUCCUGCCACGGAGAAAUGGGUCGCCUUGCCCGGCAUCUUCAGCAAGAUGCAGACAGCUCGCUUGGGGUUCGACCCGGCCGUCUCCUCGCACGUCCAAAACCGGCUAGGAUAA
RNAcentral lists this ribosomal RNA (528 nucleotides) under Triticum aestivum (bread wheat). Its description in RNAcentral is "partial small subunit ribosomal RNA". The record is from RNAcentral. Lineage: Eukaryota; Viridiplantae; Streptophyta; Magnoliopsida; Poales; Poaceae.